Molecule: ribosomal RNA, 497 nt
Filed under: uncultured bacterium
Lineage: Bacteria
Description: partial 16S ribosomal RNA
Rfam family: Bacterial small subunit ribosomal RNA
Source: RNAcentral
GAUGAACGCUGGCGGCGUGCCUAAUACAUGCAAGUCGAGCGAACAGACGAGGAGCUUGCUCCUCUGACGUUAGCGGCGGACGGGUGAGUAACACGUGGAUAACCUACCUAUAAGACUGGGAUAACUUCGGGAAACAGGAGCUAAUACCGGAUAAUAUAUUGAACCGCAUGGUUCAAUAGUGAAAGACGGUUUUGCUGUCACUUAUAGAUGGAUCCGCGCCGCAUUAGCUAGUUGGUAAGGUAACGGCUUACCAAGGCAACGAUGCGUAGCCGACCUGAGAGGGUGAUCGGCCACACUGGAACUGAGACACGGUCCAGACUCCUACGGGAGGCAGCAGUAGGGAAUCUUCCGCAAUGGGCGAAAGCCUGACGGAGCAACGCCGCGUGAGUGAUGAAGGUCUUCGGAUCGUAAAACUCUGUUAUUAGGGAAGAACAAAUGUGUAAGUAACUAUGCACGUCUUGACGGUACCUAAUCAGAAAGCCACGGCUAACUACGAG